Molecule: ribosomal RNA, 460 nt
Filed under: uncultured bacterium
Lineage: Bacteria
Description: partial 16S ribosomal RNA
Rfam family: Bacterial small subunit ribosomal RNA
Source: RNAcentral
CCUACGGGAGGCAGCAGUGAGGAAUAUUGGUCAAUGGGCGUAAGCCUGAACCAGCCAAGUCGCGUGAGGGAUGAAGGUUCUAGGGAUCGUAAACCUCUUUUAUAAGGGAAUAAAGUGUGGGACGUGUCCUGUUUUGAGUGUACCUUAUGAAUAAGGAUCGGCUAACUCCGUGCCAGCAGCCGCGGUAAUACGGAGGAUCCGAGCGUUAUCCGGAUUUAUUGGGUUUAAAGGGUGCGUAGGCGGCCUUUUAAGUCAGCGGUGAAAGUCUGUGGCUCAACCAAAGAAUUGCCGUUGAAACUGGUAGGCUUGAGUAUGUUAGAGGCAGGCGGAAUGCGUGGUGUAGCGGUGAAAUGCUUAGAUAUCACGCAGAACCUCGAUGGCGAAGGCAGCCUGCUGAGCCAUGACUGACGCUGAGGCACGAAAGCGUGGGGAUCAAACAGGAUUAGAUACCCGAGUAGUC